This 482-nucleotide ribosomal RNA is filed under the name uncultured bacterium. RNAcentral describes it as "partial 16S ribosomal RNA". It matches the Rfam family "Bacterial small subunit ribosomal RNA", at positions 28 to 523 of the family's 1533-position model. The record is from RNAcentral.
GAUGAACGCUGGCGGCGUGCUUAACACAUGCAAGUCGAACGAUGAUCCGGUGCUUGCACCGGGGAUUAGUGGCGAACGGGUGAGUAACACGUGAGUAACCUGCCCUUAACUCUGGGAUAAGCCUGGGAAACUGGGUCUAAUACCGGAUAUGACUCCUCAUCGCAUGGUGGGGGGUGGAAAGCUUUUGUGGUUUUGGAUGGACUCGCGGCCUAUCAGCUUGUUGGUGAGGUAAUGGCUCACCAAGGCGACGACGGGUUGCCGGCCUGAGAGGGGAACCGGCCACACUGGGACUGAGACACGGCCCAGACUCCUACGGGAGGCAGCAGUGGGGAAUAUUGCACAAUGGGCGGAAGCCUGAUGCAGCGACGCCGCGUGAGGGAUGACGGCCUUCGGGUUGUAAACCUCCUUCAGUAGGGAAGAAGCGAAAGUGACGGUACCUGUAGAAGAAGCGCCGGCUAACUACGUGCCAGCCGCCGCCGUAA